UGAAGCUUACAAUAAUAACUUUUGGGACGCUUCGGUGCUCCCCCGGAAUAUCUGGGGUCUCAGCCGAGGAAUCACGAAUCCAAGAGACGUGGCUUCA
Molecule: non-coding RNA, 97 nt
Filed under: unclassified sequences
Description: DUF3800-V RNA
Rfam family: DUF3800-V RNA
Source: Rfam by way of RNAcentral